AUUGAACGCUGGCGGUAUGCUUAACACAUGCAAGUCGAACGGUAACAGCAAGAGCUUGCUCUUGGCUGACGAGUGGCGGACGGGUGAGUAACGCGUAGGAAUCUGCCUAGUAGUGGGGGACAACUCGGAGAAAUCCGAGCUAAUACCGCAUACGCCCUACGGGGGAAAGUGGGGGACCUUCGGGCCUCACGCUAUUAGAUGAGCCUGCGUUGGAUUAGCUAGUUGGUGGGGUAAUGGCUCACCAAGGCGACGAUCCAUAGCUGGUCUUAGAGGACGAUCAGCCACACUGGGACUGAGACACGGCCCAG
Molecule: ribosomal RNA, 308 nt
Filed under: uncultured bacterium
Lineage: Bacteria
Description: bacterial SSU rRNA
Rfam family: Bacterial small subunit ribosomal RNA
Source: RNAcentral